AUUGAACGCUGGCGGCAUGCUUUACACAUGCAAGUCGAACGGUAACAGGCCGCAAGGUGCUGACGAGUGGCGAACGGGUGAGUAAUGCAUCGGAACGUGCCCAGUCGUGGGGGAUAACUACUCGAAAGAGUAGCUAAUACCUCAUACGAUCUAUGGAUGAAAGCGGGGGACCGUAAGGCCUCGCGCGAUUGGAGCGGCCGAUGUCAGAUUAGGUAGUUGGUGGGGUAAAGGCUCACCAAGCCAACGAUCUGUAGCUGGUCUGAGAGGACGACCAGCCACACUGGGACUGAGACACGGCCCAGACUCCUACGGGAGGCAGCAGUGGGGAAUUUUGGACAAUGGGGGCAAGCCUGAUCCAGCAAUGCCGCGUGCAGGAAGAAGGCCUUCGGGUUGUAAACUGCUUUUGUACGGAACGAAACGGCUCUGGUUAAUACCCGGGGCUAAUGACGGUACCGUAAGAAUAAGCACCGGCUAACUACGUG
This 482-nucleotide ribosomal RNA is filed under the name uncultured bacterium. Its description in RNAcentral is "partial 16S ribosomal RNA". It matches the Rfam family "Bacterial small subunit ribosomal RNA", at positions 30 to 507 of the family's 1533-position model. The record is from RNAcentral.